RNAcentral lists this non-coding RNA (102 nucleotides) under Bacillus sp. (in: firmicutes). RNAcentral describes it as "Bacillus sp. Guanine sequence". It matches the Rfam family "Purine riboswitch aptamer". Rfam says of the family: Riboswitches are metabolite binding domains within certain messenger RNAs that serve as precision sensors for their corresponding targets. Allosteric rearrangement of mRNA structure is mediated by ligand binding, and this results in modulation of gene expression. A class of riboswitches that selectively recognises guanine and becomes saturated at concentrations as low as 5 nM. Lineage: Bacteria; Bacillati; Bacillota; Bacilli; Caryophanales; Bacillaceae. The record is from RNAcentral.
GAUAUAAACGAAUAAAUGCCUCAUAUAAUCUCAGGGAUAGGGCCUGAACGUUUCUACCUAACGACCGUAAAUUGUUAGACUAUGAGGGAAGUGGAUAAGUCU